CCCUUAGACACUCUAGGCGGCACGCGCGCUACAAUGGGUGGAAGAACGUGUUACUGCCUCCGAAAGGAGGGGUGAAUCACGAAUUCUUGCCCGUGAAUGGGAUAGUUUGUUGCAAUUUUCGGACUUGAACUAGGAAUCCCUUGUAAACAUGCUCAAGAAUAGCGUGUUGAAUACGUCCCUGCCGUUUGUACACACCGCCCGUCGUUUCUUCCGACUGAUACUCAUUGUGAGUUGCAAGGACCCUUUAUUGAGAAAUUGCUGCAAAUGCUUUGUAUUGGAGGAAGAAAAAGUCGUAACA
Molecule: ribosomal RNA, 298 nt
Filed under: uncultured eukaryote
Lineage: Eukaryota
Description: partial 18S ribosomal RNA
Rfam family: Eukaryotic small subunit ribosomal RNA
Source: RNAcentral